GCGGAAGUAGUUCAGUGGUAGAACACCACCUUGCCAAGGUGGGGUCGCGGGUUCGAAUCCCGUCUUCCGCUCCA
This 74-nucleotide transfer RNA is filed under the name Staphylococcus epidermidis. RNAcentral describes it as "tRNA-Gly". It matches the Rfam family "tRNA". Rfam says of the family: Transfer RNA (tRNA) molecules are approximately 80 nucleotides in length. Their secondary structure includes four short double-helical elements and three loops (D, anti-codon, and T loops). RNAcentral also lists the same sequence under 10 other names. The record is from RNAcentral. Lineage: Bacteria; Bacillati; Bacillota; Bacilli; Caryophanales; Staphylococcaceae.